This is a long non-coding RNA of Gossypium arboreum, 1848 nucleotides long. RefSeq lists it as uncharacterized. The record is from RefSeq and is a predicted model, not a curated record. The transcript is spliced from 4 exons. Lineage: Eukaryota; Viridiplantae; Streptophyta; Magnoliopsida; Malvales; Malvaceae.
UUUUUAAAGAAACUAGGCUUGUAUUAUACAGAACAAAAAAAAGGAGGUCCAGUACAAGAUAAAUAGAAACCAAGCAAGACAAAAAAUGAAAACCAACCAGAUCAAAUCCUAAAAAAGCCCAAUACAUGGCCCACGCAACAAAUAAAAACCCUAACAAACGGAGAUGAUCAGAUAUCAAAAAGCUGAAUGGCAGCAGAAACAGUUGGAAACCAAAAGAUCUAUCGAGAAAGAAAACUAGAAAGGCUAACACACUAACUACAAGCACAAAGAGAAAUAGUGGCGAUCCAAACAAGGGCACAGAGGCAUCGCCGGAGCAAAGAGAAAUCUUCCGAAAAACCAACCCCAAACCCCUAAACACUCCCAAAAAAAACAACAAAAAACCCACGAAAAGCGCCCCCACCCCUCUCCAUUGCCCCUAAAACACCUCACAAACUCGAGAGAUGAUCACACUUUACCACCCGUUUCAUAAAAUCGAGAACACCUCUGCACAUAUAAAUUUCAUAUCUUGGAUAUAAGCGUCGAGGAUCGAUAGAUCAGGUCGGGAAGAUUGGACCUUACAAAGUACCGUGAGGGAGUCGCCUUCAACAAUCACAUAUGGGAAACCAAGAGCCAGGCCUAAGUGGACCACAUGAAGACAAGUAGUAGGAAGAGCUACAAAAGCCGAAGGUAUGUGUUUACAGACCACUGUGUGUGAACCCAAUACAAUCCCAUGUCUAUUUCUGAUAACAACUCCCGCGCAAGAUGUCUUAGAAGGGGAAUGAAAAUCCAGCAUCAAAGUUGUUUUUCAAACAGCAUCUAUUUGGGGGUUGCCACUGCUCAACCCCAAUCAGGCGCCUAGGAAGCUUCACCUGUGCCAUAUCUAAUUCUAGAAGGGUAAACUUGAAUGAUGUAAAAUAACCAGUUCUGCAAGCAUGCCUCCAAAAGCUCACUAGGCUAAGUUAUGUGCCGGUCCACCCAUAUACCAACAACAGAGGGACAGUCACAAAAGAUGUUCUUUAAAGUUUUAGCAGCAGCCGAGCAUUGAGCGCAACAAGCAUUAAAGGGCAGCUGUUGGUUGUACAGAUUAAAGAAACUAGGGAUGAAAUUAUGGAAUAUACGCCAUGUUGUAAAUCUUUUUGAUUAAAAAUACUAGGUUGUAUUAAAAACAAGAAUCCAACAAGAAAAGCCCAAAAAACUAAACAAAGCCCAAUUCAAAAACAAAACUAAAAACAGUACCAAAAAAGAAACCGAAGCAAACUAAACGUUAAAAAUGAAAAAAAAAACAUAACAAAAGCAACAGCAACCCAGCCUCAUGAGUUGUCAUCUUCUAGAGAAUUUUAAAAAUAUCUGCACCUCAACAAACAAGCUCCUGGAGAAGACAAUCUGAUGAAAUUAUAAUCGAUUCAAUUUCUUCUCACAAACCACACAUUCAUUUUAAAACUUGACUAGGUUACGGGUUUCAUCUUUAUCCACGAUCUAUUUCUGAUUCAGUGAUUUCCUGACCAACAUAUCCAUUAACAAGAUUUCUUUUGCCCCUCAUGAAUCCAUUGAUUUCUGCUAGUCCAGAUAGCCCAAAUGGCACAAACAAAUAUUCGGCACACAUCCACCCUACUGUUUAGCAAAACCCAGAACAAUCAUGAAAAAGUGUUCCCUUAUUUCCAACCCUUGUAUAUAUCUUGGGUAAACAACCUCAGUAGUUAAUCUCUUUGGUUGAAGAUUCACUAAAGUAGGAAGAUAAUUAAAAGUAGUUUUCCAAGUUGUAAUUUUUAUUUUAGAAGGAAGAUCAAGGUUCCAAAGUUUCUUUUAGCAUUUUGUAUUGUCAAUCGGCUUGUAAUUAUUUGGGUUAUUAAAAUUACCUUGUAAAAGUAA